This is a small nuclear RNA of Suncus etruscus (white-toothed pygmy shrew), 109 nucleotides long. The record is from RefSeq and is a predicted model, not a curated record. Lineage: Eukaryota; Metazoa; Chordata; Mammalia; Eulipotyphla; Soricidae.
GUGUUCUCACUUCAGCAGCACAUACAGUAAAAUUGGAAGGAUACAGAGAAAAUUAGCAUGAUCUCUGCACAGAAAUAACAUGCAAAUUCAUGAGGCAUUCCAUAUUUUA